This is a long non-coding RNA of Cornus florida, 857 nucleotides long. RefSeq lists it as uncharacterized. Lineage: Eukaryota; Viridiplantae; Streptophyta; Magnoliopsida; Cornales; Cornaceae. The record is from RefSeq and is a predicted model, not a curated record. The transcript is spliced from 3 exons.
GUUUACACAUUUUAAUUCAUUCAUCACUUUCCUCUCAAGAACCCUAGAAGCCACCAUUGGAGAAAAGCUUGACUAGUAGCUUUGACUUCAUUUUUGGUGCCCUUUCACUCACCUUAGAACUUUGAACUUGGAAUAUUUUAGGCUCCUCCUACUCUCCUCUCCAAAACCCUUGAAGGAUCUAGCCUAACUCCUAGUUUUGCUUUGGUAUCUAGAGUUUCAAUUCUCUAGUGAGUUGAAGGUAGCAAGCUGAAAAAUUUGUUUUGCGGACCGAAAAUUUGGGGCGAUUUCAUUUCGGUGGUAAUUGGGAUUUUCAUUCCAAUUGAGGUACAGGACUCAGAAUUUGAAGAUUCCAUUGCUCCUUGAAUGGCUUACAGUUUCUAAGUUUCUAUUUUAUGCAAGUGUUAGCAUAAGAUGCCUCUUUGUAGCCCUAUUUGUUUAAACUUGUAUUUGUUGAUUCGUAUAUGUAAAGUGUACGUAAGUGCACUCUUUUCAAUGUAUUUAACAUGUAUGAGAUGAGGCCAGAGGCCAAUGACAUGUAUCUCGUUUUCUAUGCACUUUUGUUUUCAAAGUUUAUUAUGAAAAUAUUGGAAAAUGUUAAGUCAUUGCUUCAUAACUUUCGCAUCGGGUGUUGGAAUUUCAUAUCUUUUCUGCCCAGACUCAGAAUCAGACGAUUCUUGAGUCUAAUUUUGUUUUUUUUUUUGUUGUCCUUCCAAUGGUGUGCACGGUGACACCCUUUUCAAUGAGAAAUGACCAUUUUGCCCUUAGUUCAUCUCUUUUCGGGUUAGGUAUUCUUGCUUCAUUUGUUUGGCUCAUUUGAGUUCCGUGUUUUCAUGGAGAGUCAUUUUGGGGCCUUAGGG